AACGAACGCUGGCGGCAGGCUUAACACAUGCAAGUCGAGCGAAGACUUCGGUCUUAGCGGCGGACGGGUGAGUAACGCGUGGGAACGUGCCUUUUGCUACGGAAUAGCCCCGGGAAACUGGGAGUAAUACCGUAUACGCCCUUUGGGGGAAAGAUUUAUCGGCAAGAGAUCGGCCCGCGUUGGAUUAGGUAGUUGGUGGGGUAAUGGCCUACCAAGCCUACGAUCUAUAGCUGGUUUUAGAGGAUGAUCAGCAACACUGGGACUGAGACACGGCCCAGACUCCUACGGGAGGCAGCAGUGGGGAAUCUUGGACAAUGGGGGCAACCCUGAUCCAGCCAUGCCGCGUGAGUGAUGAAGGCCUUAGGGUCGUAAAGCUCUUUCGCCUGUGAAGAUAAUGACGGUAGCAGGUAAA
This 412-nucleotide ribosomal RNA is filed under the name uncultured bacterium. RNAcentral's name for it is "bacterial SSU rRNA". It matches the Rfam family "Bacterial small subunit ribosomal RNA", at positions 29 to 486 of the family's 1533-position model. The record is from RNAcentral.